This 253-nucleotide ribosomal RNA is filed under the name uncultured bacterium. RNAcentral's name for it is "partial 16S ribosomal RNA". It matches the Rfam family "Bacterial small subunit ribosomal RNA", at positions 524 to 776 of the family's 1533-position model. The record is from RNAcentral.
UACGUAGGGUGCGAGCGUUAAUCGGAAUUACUGGGCGUAAAGCGUGCGCAGGCGGUUUUGUAAGCCAGACGUGAAAUCCCUCGGCUCAACCGAGGAACUGCGUCUGAUACUGGAAGGCUUGAAUCCGGGAGAGGGAGGUGGAAUUCCAGGUGUAGCAGUGAAAUGCGUAGAUAUCUGGAGGAACACCGAUGGCGAAGGCAGCCUCCUGGGCUAGUACUGACGCUCAUGCACGAAAGCGUGGGGAGCAAACAGG